GAUGAACGCUGGCGGCGUGCCUAAUACAUGCAAGUCGAACGCAUAGCGAAAGGUGCUUGCACCUUUCAAGUGAGUGGCGAACGGGUGAGUAACACGUGGACAACCUGCCUCAAGGCUGGGGAUAACAUUUGGAAACGGAUGCUAAUACCGAAUAAAACUUAGUGCCGCAUGACACAAAGUUAAAAGGCGCUUCGGCGUCACCUAGAGAUGGUUCCGCGGUGCAUUAGUUGGUUGGGGGGUUAAAGGCCUACCAAGACAAUGAUGCAUAGCCGAGUUGAGAGACUGAUCGGCCACAUUGGGACUGAGACACGGCCCAAACUCCUACGGGAGGCUGCAGUAGGGAAUCUUCCACAAUGGGCGAAAGCCUGAUGGAGCAACGCCGCGUGUGUGAUGAAGGCUUUCGGGUCGUAAAGCACUGUUGUAUGGGAAGAACAGCUAGAAUAGGAAAUGAUUUUAGUUUGACGGUACCAUACCAGAAAGGGACGGCUAAAUACGUG
Molecule: ribosomal RNA, 497 nt
Filed under: uncultured bacterium
Lineage: Bacteria
Description: partial 16S ribosomal RNA
Rfam family: Bacterial small subunit ribosomal RNA
Source: RNAcentral